RNAcentral lists this ribosomal RNA (234 nucleotides) under Salmonella enterica subsp. enterica serovar Typhimurium. Its description in RNAcentral is "partial 23S ribosomal RNA". It matches the Rfam family "Bacterial large subunit ribosomal RNA", at positions 2710 to 2925 of the family's 2925-position model. The record is from RNAcentral. Lineage: Bacteria; Pseudomonadati; Pseudomonadota; Gammaproteobacteria; Enterobacterales; Enterobacteriaceae.
UGGUGUUCGGGUUGUCAUGCCAAUGGCACUGCCCGGUAGCUAAAUGCGGAAGAGAUAAGUGCUGAAAGCAUCUAAGCACGAAACUUGCCCCGAGAUGAGUUCUCCCUGAGACUUUAGAGUCUCCUGAAGGAACGUUGAAGACGACGACGUUGAUAGGCCGGGUGUGUAAGCGCAGCGAUGCGUUGAGCUAACCGGUACUAAUGAACCGUGAGGCUUAACCUUACAACGCCGAAG